GACGAACGCUGGCGGCGUGCUUAACACAUGCGAGUCGAACGCUGAAGCUCAGCUUUUGUUGGGUGGAUGGGUGGCGAACGGGUGAGUAACACGUGAGUAACCUGCCCCCUUCUUUGGGAUAACGCCCGGAAACGGGUGCUAAUACUGGAUAUUCACUGGUCUUCGCAUGGGGGUUGGUGGAAAGGGUUUUUCUGGUGGGGGAUGGGCUCGCGGCCUAUCAGCUUGUUGGUGGGGUGAUGGCCUACCAAGGCUUUGACGGGUAGCCGGCCUGAGAGGGUGACCGGUCACAUUGGGACUGAGAUACGGCCCAGACUCCUACGGGGGGCAGCAGUGGGGAAUAUUGCACAAUGGGCGCAAGCCUGAUGCAGCGACGCCGCGUGAGGGAUGGAGGCCUUCGGGUUGUGAACCUCUUUCGCUCAUGGUCAAGCCGCAACAAUGGUUGUGGUGAGGGUAGUGGGUAAAGAAGCGCCGGCUAACUACGUG
This 483-nucleotide ribosomal RNA is filed under the name uncultured bacterium. RNAcentral describes it as "partial 16S ribosomal RNA". It matches the Rfam family "Bacterial small subunit ribosomal RNA", at positions 28 to 507 of the family's 1533-position model. The record is from RNAcentral.